RNAcentral lists this ribosomal RNA (253 nucleotides) under uncultured bacterium. RNAcentral describes it as "partial 16S ribosomal RNA". It matches the Rfam family "Bacterial small subunit ribosomal RNA", at positions 524 to 776 of the family's 1533-position model. The record is from RNAcentral.
UACGGGGGGGGCAAGCGUUGUUCGGAAUUACUGGGCGUAAAGGGCGUGUAGGCGGCCAACUAAGUCCGACGUGAAAUCCCCAGGCUUAACCUGGGAACUGCGUCGGAUACUGGAUGGCUUGAAUCCGGGAGAGGGAUGUGGAAUUCCAGGUGUAGCGGUGAAAUGCGUAGAUAUCUGGAGGAACACCGGUGGCGAAGGCGGCAUCCUGGACCGGUAUUGACGCUGAGGCGCGAAAGCUAGGGGAGCAAACGGG